CUUGUAAAUAUUGAAAUAUUUCGGUUGUUUCGGUAGUUUUUAUAAUCAGCAAUAUGAUACCUUACUUCUCAUCAUCCCCUGCAGGCAUAAACUAAAAGCUGGAAUUACCAAUUCAGGCAAAGAGAUUUUCUUUUGGGGUACUUUUAUUGAACUUCGUAAUUCGAAAUCGAAAAAAGUAUUAUUCAUACAGUUGGAAAGCUUUCCCAGGAACAGAUGCUACGCAACAAAGGUUCACGUGAUCAAACCAGCCUAAACUGUAAACCAGGGCCGGCGCUACAGGGGUGGGGGUGGAACAAAUCGGCAAAUUAUUAUCUCAGUCGGCAAAACUGGAUUGGCUAAAGAUAACCACUGAAGAAACCAAAAUUGACUUCCUGAAUAAUUCAAACCGAAUAUCACGACUAGCAUGCAUCAAAGAAACCACACAUGCAGCAAUGCAAAUUCUUUCUAAUUAAAUUUGUUUGGUUGUUCAGUUGUUGUUGCUUAUUAUACUGUUCUAUAAAAGAGGCAAUAAAGCGGUCGGUUUUACACUGGCGAUUUUUUUCGCACGAAGCGACCUUUUCCUUUGUCGGUAUCACUAUUACGUCAGCAAGAUGUGGCAAAAUCAGUCCUCGAAAACGAGGUCGGCAUUCCAAGUUCGGCAAAUUUUUGCCGACCUUAAUUCAACCAAAGUAAGAAUUUUU
Non-coding RNA from Paramuricea clavata, 680 nucleotides. The record is from the annotation of a GenBank genome assembly. NCBI's taxonomy places the organism in Eukaryota, Metazoa, Cnidaria, Anthozoa, Malacalcyonacea, Plexauridae.